AGUCGAACGAGAAAGUGGAGCAAUCCAUGAGUAAAGUGGCGACCGGGUGAGUAACACGUGACUAACCUGCCUUCGAGUGGGGGAUAACCUCGGGAAACCGGGGCUAAUACCGCAUAAUGCCGAAAGGUUAAAGGAGCAAUUCGCUUGAAGAGGGGGUCGCGGCUGAUUAGCUAGUUGGCGGGGUAACGGCCCACCAAGGCGAUGAUCGGUAGCCGGCCUGAGAGGGCGCACGGCCACACUGGAACUGAAACACGGUCCAGACUCCUACGGGAGGCAGCAGUGGGGAAUUUUGCGCAAUGGGGGAAACCCUGACGCAGCAACGCCGCGUGGAGGAUGAAGUCCUUUGGGACGUAAACUCCUUUCGACCGGGACGAUAAUGACGGUACCGGUGGAAGAAGCCCCGGCUAACUUCGUGCCAGCAGCCGCGGUAAUACG
RNAcentral lists this ribosomal RNA (435 nucleotides) under uncultured bacterium. RNAcentral's name for it is "bacterial SSU rRNA". It matches the Rfam family "Bacterial small subunit ribosomal RNA", at positions 60 to 527 of the family's 1533-position model. The record is from RNAcentral.